CCUACGGGAGGCUGCAGUGAGGAAUAUUGGGCAAUGGGGGCAACCCUGACCCAGCCAUGCCGCGUGAGUGAAGAAGGUUUUCGGAUUGUAAAGCUCUUUCGGACGUGACGAUGAUGACGGCGGCGUCUAAAGAAGAACCGGCAAACGUCUUACCAGCAGCCUCGGUAAUACGAAGGGAGCGAGAGUCGUUCGGAAGUACUGGGCGUAAAGGGAGUGUAGGAGGAGAUGUAAUAAAGCUGUGAAAAGCCUGGGCUCAACCCCGGAACUGCAAUUAGAACUAUGUAUCUAGAGUAAUGUAGAGGAUAGCGGAAUACCCAGUGUAGAGGUGAAAGUCGUAGAUAUUAGGUAGAACACCAGUGGCGAAGGCGGCUAUCUGGACAGUUACUGACGCUGAGGCUCGAAAGCAUGGGGAUCAAACAGGAUUAGAUACCCUGGUAGUC
This 440-nucleotide ribosomal RNA is filed under the name uncultured bacterium. Its description in RNAcentral is "partial 16S ribosomal RNA". It matches the Rfam family "Bacterial small subunit ribosomal RNA", at positions 338 to 795 of the family's 1533-position model. The record is from RNAcentral.